RNAcentral lists this long non-coding RNA (1679 nucleotides) under Helianthus annuus (common sunflower). RNAcentral's name for it is "hypothetical non coding rna". The record is from RNAcentral. Lineage: Eukaryota; Viridiplantae; Streptophyta; Magnoliopsida; Asterales; Asteraceae.
UUCAUUCAUCCUCGCUUAAUCUUUCAAGACUUCAACCGACAAGGUGACGACUCCCUUUAGGUUUCGGCGGAAGUUGUUAGGUGAUGGUGUUGUUGUGACGGCGGUUAGGUGGUGGUGGCCGUCAGGUGGCUGUGAUGUGGUGAAGGCAGCGGUCAGAUGGUUGUGAUGUGGUGGUCGCGGGUUGGUGGUUGUGCCAUCGUCACGGUAGCAGUGACGAUUUGAUGAUGGUGGUGGUGGAAAAGAAAGGUCGGUGCACAAGACAACUGUGCUAUCUUAACCUUCGGACCUCACGCCGUCUAUUACUCCGCUACUCCUCUGUUAGUCUCUGUUUCUUCUUCCACAAUUCACUUCAUUUAAUUACAUUACCAUGCUUUAACGUUCACUGAUAGAUAAAUAUAGAUGCGAUUUCUUCGUUUUAAGUUUUUAUUCGUACGAAUUUUGUAGAUCAGUUGACCUAAUUUCAUUAUGAUGAACAUCAAUUUGUGCUUAAUGUUGUAGCUGUAACUUCACAUCUGCUGAUAGAUAUAGAUGAGAUUUGUUCAUUUUUAGUUUGUUUUCGAACGAAUAUUGUAGAUCAGUUGACCUAAUUUCAUUAUGAAGAACAUCAAUUUGUGCUUAAUGUUGUAGCUGUAACAUCAGCUGAUCGAUGUAGAUGAGAUUUGUUCAUUUUUAAGCUGUAUCAGUUGACCUAAAAUUCUCAAUGCUUUCUUUUUUCUGCAACCUUCUCAAUACUUUCUUUCAAAACUUCACAACUGUCGUAGAUGACCAAGUACAGCGACGGUGGUGGUUCGAUCAUGUUCAUCACUAACAAUUACGAGAUUACCGGAGGGGCGGUAAUCCGUUAUGGCGGACAAGGUGGUGGUCAGACGAUUCACAACGCCGACAAGUAUGUGUUAUUAAUUUGACAUGAAUAAGUUUGUAGGCAUCGAUUAGGGUCUUGGGUACUAAGUAUUGUUGCAACAAAUUUGGGGUUUUUGUCGGAAGGCGGCGAUUAGGGCUCCUACAAGUAGAAUAUGGCUGCUAACAAAUCAAAUGGAGUAGUUGACCUCCGCCGAUGUACAAGGUUGCUCGGAUAAGCGGAAUCAAAGGUUCAUCGGUGUCGGAAAAAGCAGGCUUAGAAGUCGGAGAAGGAUGUGUAUUUGAAAUCGGUCAUUUACAUAUUAAUUAAACUAUUAGGUAAGUGACUCGGAGAAAGAGAGGGAAUAAUAGAGGAGGUGGGUCGGUGGCAACAACUACUAGCGAACGCCGAACAAGGGCCACAUCAGGCAGCGAUUGACGUACUCCAGUCGGCAGCAGAUCCAUAUAUGAACAACGAAUUUUUAGAGCGUUUUUCAUUUAUGUUUAGGAUGAUGCAAAUCAAAAAAGUUGGAAACCCUAGCUACUAAGACCUAAUAAUUCUUUCAAGAAGAUGUGGAUUUUGGGAUGAAAUAACUAGCAAUGCAUAUGGUCAGUAAACCGGCAAUGCAAAUGGUAAGUGGUGAUUGUAUAACGGCGCUUGAUAAAGAAUUAUGCAUAUAAUCAUUUCUUAAUUUUGUUUCGUUUCAUGGCAUUUCGAAAUGACCAAGGAGGUAAUAUUCAUUUGCCGUUGAUUUACAGGUUUGCUAUUGUUUAAAGAUUCUGUUACAAAAUAUUUGUAAACAUGUCGGUCAAUUUUUUGUUAGAAUGAUUUUUCUAGUACU